AGGACGAACGCUGGCGGCGUGCUUAACACAUGCAAGUCGAACGAGGUGCUUGCACCUAGUGGCGAACGGGUGAGUAACACGUGAGCAACCUGCCCUUGGCUCUGGGAUAGCCUCCGGAAACGGGGAUUAAUACCGGACAUGACCUGCUCCUGCAUGGGGGCGGGUGGAAAGUUUUUCGGCCAGGGAGGGGCUCGCGGCCUAUCAGCUUGUUGGGGGGGUAACGGCCCACCAAGGCGACGACGGGUAG
Molecule: ribosomal RNA, 247 nt
Filed under: uncultured bacterium
Lineage: Bacteria
Description: partial small subunit ribosomal RNA
Rfam family: Bacterial small subunit ribosomal RNA
Source: RNAcentral